GGAAGGCAAUCGCGCCCGGUGGCGCGGCCGGGCUUCAAACUUGGUUGGGGAGGGCAUCCGCUCCUGGGCAGGUUCGACUCCGGCUGCCUUCCGCCA
Molecule: transfer RNA, 96 nt
Filed under: Pseudomonas fluorescens
Lineage: Bacteria; Pseudomonadati; Pseudomonadota; Gammaproteobacteria; Pseudomonadales; Pseudomonadaceae
Also listed under: 1 other name
Description: tRNA-Sec
Rfam family: Selenocysteine transfer RNA
Source: RNAcentral